This 1216-nucleotide long non-coding RNA is filed under the name Citrus x clementina. RNAcentral's name for it is "Citrus clementina (C. clementina) long non-coding RNA (CCLE_LNC000758)". The record is from RNAcentral. Lineage: Eukaryota; Viridiplantae; Streptophyta; Magnoliopsida; Sapindales; Rutaceae.
AAAGCUCAAAAUUUGAGCUUUUGCUAAUAGAAGCAAAAUAGCGUAUUUAAGCUUCAAAAGCUCUAUUAGAAAAAUAACCAAACAAUAACGAAAAUUAUGAUUAGAACUUAUAAGAUUAAAUAAGUACUUAUAACAAUUAAAUAAGUCAUAUCAAAUAAGCACUUCAAUGAGAUAAUAUAAUUAAGCCCACACAAUGUGACCUUCAAUUAGAGUGAUAUUUGGUGACCAAAGACUGAAUUAAGAUUAACCAAAUAUCAAAUUAUUAGUGUGUAAGAUCUAACAUGCAUUGACCAGUUAACAUGAACCAUAUAUUCAAUGCUCCUUGUAGUUAUAGCAAAUGGAGUAGAUUAAUUUCUCCCAAUAUUAAGAGUAAACAUAGCAAAUUUAUGCUACAAACUAAUUCGCAUGCCUAAUGGAAAAAAAAAAUUUGAGACAUCGAACACUAAACUAAAAAUAUUAGUUAUAAUUCCUUUUUUUUUUCUUUUUUCAAUCAGAAUUUAACUAUUCUUCACAUAAUCUUGAGCUAUAAAAUUUCAUGACCUUCUAUCAAGAAUCGAUGUGUAUGCAUGAUUGUGGAAUUGAUUGAAAUGGUUGUGGAAAGUAGAAUUGAAUUGUGUUUGAAAUAGUUGAGAAAUUACCGAAUUAAUUGAAAUGGUAGUGGGUGGGACAUGAGAAUUGAAUUGUGGAUGGGAAAUGGUUUCGGUAGGUCCGACCUGAUGUUGGCCCGAUUCGGGUUGGAUCCGACCCGACCCUAACUAUAAAAAUGUAAGACUUUUUUAAGGUUGGACUUUAAUUCUUUAUUGAUCGGGUCGAGUCGGAUUUGGCCAAGCCCGAACCCGACCGGACGUUUUACCAUCCCUAAUCUUAUAUCAAGAAUUGAUGUGUAUGCAUGCUUCAUUGCUUCUUGUGAUAUAUACAUCUCUGCGCUUAGUUUUCAAGUCUUUAAUUGACUGUGACUUGACCCGCUACUACUUUUAAACCUACUUGAUUAUUAGCCACCACAUACGGGAGGGUAAAAGCUUGUUUAGUCCCUAUAUUAUGAGGUUAGUGUCCAUUUAGUCCUUGUAUUUUUAAAAACACCUCAAAACGUCCCUGCUACUAAAUAUUGACACUUAUGCCAUUAUUUUUUAUUAUUUUUAACUUGUUUUUACAAUAUUACAUUUUUACAAUAAUGUUUCUUUUUUGGAUAUUAAUAAAAAAUUAAAUUAUCAAAUUA